AAUGAUGUUGUGAGGCUGACUUGCUUAGGAGCUUGUUCGUGUUCCUAAGCUCUUCACCCUUACAGACACCUUCA
Molecule: non-coding RNA, 74 nt
Organism: Haemonchus contortus (barber pole worm)
Lineage: Eukaryota; Metazoa; Nematoda; Chromadorea; Rhabditida; Trichostrongylidae
Source: Rfam